CCUACGGGUGGCAGCAGUAGGGAAUAUUACUCAAUGGGGGAAACCCUGAAGCAGCAACGCCGCGUGGAGGAUGAAGGUUUUCGGAUUGUAAACUCCUUUUGUUAGAGAAGAUAAUGACGGUAUCUAACGAAUAAGCACCGGCUAACUCCGUUCCAGCAGCCGCGGUAAUACGGAGGGUGCAAGCGUUACUCGGAAUCACUGGGCGGAAAGAGCGCGUAGGCGGGAUAGCAAGUCAGAUGUGAAAUCCUAUGGCUUAACCAUGGAACUGCAUUUGAAACUGUUAUUCUAGAGUAUGGGAGAGGUAGGUGGAAUUCUUGGUGUAGGGGUAAAAUCCGUAGAGAUCAAGAGGAAUACUCAUUGCGAAGGCGACCUGCUAGAACAUAACUGACGCUGAUGCGCGAAAGCGUGGGGAGCAAACAGGAUUAGAUACCCGAGUAGUC
This 440-nucleotide ribosomal RNA is filed under the name uncultured bacterium. RNAcentral describes it as "partial 16S ribosomal RNA". It matches the Rfam family "Bacterial small subunit ribosomal RNA", at positions 338 to 795 of the family's 1533-position model. The record is from RNAcentral.